Molecule: ribosomal RNA, 254 nt
Filed under: uncultured bacterium
Lineage: Bacteria
Description: partial 16S ribosomal RNA
Rfam family: Bacterial small subunit ribosomal RNA
Source: RNAcentral
UACAGAGGUGGCAAGCGUUGUUCGGAAUUACUGGGCGUAAAGGGCGUGUAGGCGGUCUUGUAAGUCCUGUGUGAAAUCCCUCGGCUCAACUGAGGAACUGCACGGGAUACUGCGAGACUUGAGUUCGGGAGAGGGAAGCGGAAUUCCGGGUGUAGCGGUGAAAUGCGUAGAUAUCCGGAGGAACACCGGUGGCGAAGGCGGCUUCCUGGACCGAUUACUGACGCUGAGGCGCGAAAGCUAGGGGAGCAAACGGG